GAUGAACGCUGGCGGCGUGCUUAACACAUGCAAGUCGAACGAAGCACUUGAGAAUGAUUCUUCGGAUGAAGUCUUUUGUGACUUAGUGGCGGACGGGUGAGUAACGCGUGGGUAACCUGCCUCACACAGGGGGAUAACAGUUGGAAACGACCGCUAAUACCGCAUAACCCGCUGGUAUCGCAUGAUACUGACGGAAAAGAUUUUAUCGGUGUGAGAUGGACCCGCGUCUGAUUAGCCAGUUGGCAGGGUAACGGCCUACCAAAGCGACGAUCAGUAGCCGGCCUGAGAGGGUGAACGGCCACAUUGGGACUGAGACACGGCCCAA
RNAcentral lists this ribosomal RNA (325 nucleotides) under uncultured bacterium. RNAcentral's name for it is "bacterial SSU rRNA". It matches the Rfam family "Bacterial small subunit ribosomal RNA", at positions 28 to 334 of the family's 1533-position model. The record is from RNAcentral.